UACGGGGGGGGCAAGCGUUGUUCGGAAUUACUGGGCGUAAAGGGCUCGUAGGCGGCCAACUAAGUCAGACGUGAAAUCCCCAGGCUCAACCUGGGAACUGCGUCCGAUACUGGAUGGCUCGAAUCCGGGAGAGGGAUGUGGAAUUCCAGGUGUAGCGGUGAAAUGCGUAGAUAUCUGGAGGAACACCGGUGGCGAAGGCGGCAUCCUGGACCGGUAUUGACGCUGAGGCGCGAAAGCCAGGGGAGCAAACGGG
RNAcentral lists this ribosomal RNA (253 nucleotides) under uncultured bacterium. Its description in RNAcentral is "partial 16S ribosomal RNA". It matches the Rfam family "Bacterial small subunit ribosomal RNA", at positions 524 to 776 of the family's 1533-position model. The record is from RNAcentral.